Molecule: ribosomal RNA, 1200 nt
Filed under: Parascombrops spinosus (keelcheek bass)
Lineage: Eukaryota; Metazoa; Chordata; Actinopteri; Acropomatiformes; Acropomatidae
Description: partial 16S ribosomal RNA
Rfam family: Bacterial large subunit ribosomal RNA
Source: RNAcentral
GCAGAGAUUUAAACUCUUACCUUUUGCAUCAUGGUUUAGCCAGUACAUUCAAGCAAAGCGCACUUUAGUCUGAAACCCCGAAACUAGCGCGAGCUACUCCAAGACAGCCUGUUAUUAGGGCAAACCCGUCUCUGUGGCAAUAGAGUGGGAAGAGCUUCGAGUAGAGGUGAUAUACCUAUCGAGCCUAGUGAUAGCUGGUUGCCUGGAAAAUGGAUAAGAGUUCAGCCUUAGAACUUCUUUCUAAGUCCAAAGAGUUAAUCAAAGGGGGCACAGCUCCUUUGAUAAAAGACACAACUUUACCAGAAGGAUAAGGAUCAAACACAAUGAAGGAUUGUAUACAUGUGGGCCUAUAAGCAGCCACCCAAACAGAAAGCGUUACAGCUCAACCCAAAAAUCCUGAUAACCUAUUCCAACUCCUCUGAUAUUUUACCAGGCCUCCCCAUGCACACAUGGGAGAGAUAAUGCUAAAAUGAGUAAUAAGAGGCACCCCUCUCCCAGCACAAGUGUAAAUCGAAAUGGAUAAACCACCGAAACUUAACGGACCCAGCCCAGGAGGGAAUUGGACUAAAAUUAGAAAUACAACCACCGUUAACCCUACACCGGAGUGCUAAAGGAAAGACUAAAAGGAAAAGAAGGAACUCGGCAAACAAGCCUCGCCUGUUUACCAAAAACAUCACCUCUUGCUCGAAUAAGAGGCCCCGCCUGCCCUGUGACUGUAUGUUUAACGGCCGCGGUAUCAUGACCGUGCAAAGGUAGCGCAAUCACUUGUCUUUUAAAUGAAGACCUGUAUGAAUGGCAUAACGAGGGCUUAACUGUCUCCUUUUCCAGGUCAAUGAAAUUGAUCCCCCCGUGCAGAAGCGGGGAUGAAUACAUAAGACGAGAAGACCCUGUGGAGCUUUAGACACCUGAGUAGCUCUUUAUCAAGUACCCCCUCUUAAGGGGGAACAAUCCUAAGACCCCUACUCAAUGUCUUCGGUUGGGGCGACCAUGGAGUAAAAAAAACCCUCCACGCGGAAUGACAGUAUUACCAAAAUCAAGGGCCCCCGCCCUAAUUAUCAGAACCUCUGACCGCACAGAUCCGGCAAAGCCGAGUAACGAACUAAGUUACCCCAGGGAUAACAGCGCAAUCUCCUUCCCGAGACCCUAUCAAAAAGGAGGUUUACGACCUCGAUGUUGGAUCAGGACAUCCUAAUGGUGCAG